RNAcentral lists this ribosomal RNA (722 nucleotides) under Comamonas sp. SMCC B0671. RNAcentral describes it as "bacterial SSU rRNA". It matches the Rfam family "Bacterial small subunit ribosomal RNA", at positions 22 to 741 of the family's 1533-position model. Lineage: Bacteria; Pseudomonadati; Pseudomonadota; Betaproteobacteria; Burkholderiales; Comamonadaceae. The record is from RNAcentral.
GCUCAGAUUGAACGCUGGCGGCAUGCUUUACACAUGCAAGUCGAACGGUAACAGCACUUCGGUGGCUGACGAGUGGCGAACGGGUGAGUAAUACAUCGGAACGUGCCUAGUAGUGGGGGAUAACUACUCGAAAGAGUAGCUAAUACCGCAUGAGAUCUACGGAUGAAAGCAGGGGACCUUCGGGCCUUGUGCUACUAGAGCGGCUGAUGGCAGAUUAGGUAGUUGGUGGGAUAAAAGCUUACCAAGCCGACGAUCUGUAGCUGGUCUGAGAGGACGACCAGCCACACUGGGACUGAGACACGGCCCAGACUCCUACGGGAGGCAGCAGUGGGGAAUUUUGGACAAUGGGCGCAAGCCUGAUCCAGCAAUGCCGCGUGCAGGAUGAAGGCCUUCGGGUUGUAAACUGCUUUUGUACGGAACGAAAAGCCUUCUUCUAAUACAGGAGGGUCAUGACGGUACCGUAAGAAUAAGCACCGGCUAACUACGUGCCAGCAGCCGCGGUAAUACGUAGGGUGCAAGCGUUAAUCGGAAUUACUGGGCGUAAAGCGUGCGCAGGCGGUCUUGUAAGACAGAGGUGAAAUCCCCGGGCUCAACCUGGGAACUGCCUUUGUGACUGCAAGGCUGGAGUACGGCAGAGGGGGAUGGAAUUCCGCGUGUAGCAGUGAAAUGCGUAGAUAUGCGGAGGAACACCGAUGGCGAAGGCAAUCCCCUGGGCCUGUACU